GGUGACGUGCCGGAAUGGCUAACGGGACGGUUUGCAAAACCGUAUUUUGUGAGUUCGAUUCUCACCGUCACCUCCA
RNAcentral lists this transfer RNA (76 nucleotides) under bacterium. RNAcentral's name for it is "tRNA-Cys". It matches the Rfam family "tRNA". From Rfam's summary of the family: Transfer RNA (tRNA) molecules are approximately 80 nucleotides in length. Their secondary structure includes four short double-helical elements and three loops (D, anti-codon, and T loops). RNAcentral also lists the same sequence under 3 other names. The record is from RNAcentral.